This is a long non-coding RNA of Corapipo altera (White-ruffed manakin), 499 nucleotides long. RefSeq lists it as uncharacterized. The record is from RefSeq and is a predicted model, not a curated record. NCBI's taxonomy places the organism in Eukaryota, Metazoa, Chordata, Aves, Passeriformes, Pipridae. The transcript has 3 exons.
CUUUCAAGUGAUGGUGUUUGUCUUCCCCAGUAACUAUUAUGUGUGAUAGGACCCUGCUCUCCUGGAAGUGGCUGAACACCUGCCUGCCCAUGGGAAAUGAUUCAACUGUGAUAAUUCCCUGGGACAUUCACAUCAAGCCUGAAGGUAUUCAUCUCGUGUUGAUGAGUCAUAAUGGACCAUAAUGAACUCAUAAUGGACAUAAGAGACAGCUACAGCUGCAACAUCUUAGAAAGUGUCAAAGACUCCUAAGUAUCCUGUGACUCACAGUAUUACAUCAUCCAGGCUUCCACCACUACCUUGACAGUUCCAGACUGCAACCACCACUUGGACAGGUUUUCAAACACCACUUCAACCAAUGAACAUUGAAAUUGCAACAACCAAGUCUCAUAAUUGAAUCCAAUGGGUGUGCUGUGGAUCCUUCCAGUCACGUGAGGGGUCUGCAGCCCUGCUCCAACUGCCCGUGCUAGCACCGCAGCCUCACUCCAGCACCACACAAGUG